UCCAACCUCACAGUCUCCCGGCAUUUGUCUCCGUUCAUUCGCAGUCGUUAAAAGAAUUUCCGCCGCUGCGUUCACAUCCCGCCGGUAAAGUCCCCUCAACUGCACUCCAGCUGCGCCUGAUGAGGCGCUCGUUUGUUUGGUUAGCAAGAGAUUCGUAUGCUGAUGGCUGGAAUCGGGAAUCGUGCGUGUUCGAUCGGAACAGUCUGACGUCGUAUCGGUUUCGUGUGAAUCUCAACUGCGAAGAUCCAGAAUCUAUUUAUUGGAGAAGAAGAAACAGUGGACAAUAAUGGAGUUGUGUCUCUUUGCGAGUUUGGGAGCGAUAGUCUGUGAUCGCUAGGUGGACGACGCUUCGACUCGGUUAAACCAGCAGGAAAAGUUUGGUUUAGUCUGGUCUGUAUUCAGUGACAAGACUGUGGUCAUGUUUAUGUUAUGGAGUUCGGCUGCAGGAGUGGUGAAUUAGUAAAAGCUUACUUGAAGGAAUGAUGUUCAUUCAAGCACCGCUGUUGAUGACCAUUGGUAAUGAGCAAUUUAAUGGGGUUAAAAAGAAGUCAAUGCCAUAGGAGAUGUCAGGACUCACGACUUUCCACAACAAUGGUACGAUAUUGUCCACUUUGAGCAUAAGUUCUCCUGGCUUUGAGCAUAAGUUCUCCUGGCUUUGCUUUUAGUUUCUCCAAAAGACCUCAUAUCAAUGAAAAUGUAUUCCUUACCUAUAAACCCAUUAUCAACUCUUUGAUUAG
This is a long non-coding RNA of Cucurbita moschata (crookneck pumpkin), 737 nucleotides long. RefSeq lists it as uncharacterized. The transcript has 3 exons. The record is from RefSeq and is a predicted model, not a curated record. NCBI's taxonomy places the organism in Eukaryota, Viridiplantae, Streptophyta, Magnoliopsida, Cucurbitales, Cucurbitaceae.